ACAGGCCUAACACAUGCAAGUCGAGCGGCAGCGCGGGAGCAAUCCUGGCGGCGAGCGGCGGACGGGUGAGCAAUGCUUGGGAAUCUGCCCAUCAGUGGGGGACAACCCGGGGAAACUCGGGCUAAUACCGCAUACGUUCUGAGGAAGAAAGCAGGGGAUCGCAAGACCUUGCGCUGAUGGAUGAGCCCAAGUCGGAUUAGCUAGUUGGUGAGGUAACGGCUCACCAAGGCGACGAUCCGUAGCUGGUCUGAGAGGACGACCAGCCACACCGGAACUGAGACACGGUCCGGACUCCUACGGGAGGCAGCAGUGGGGAAUAUUGGACAAUGGGGGCAACCCUGAUCCAGCGACGCCGCGUGGGUGAAGAAGGCCUGCGGGUUGUAAAGCCCUUUCGUUGGGGAAGAACAGUUCCGACCUAAUACGUCGGGACCUUGACGUUACCCAAAGAAGAAGCACCGGCUAACUCUGUGCCAGCAGCCGCGGUAAUACAGAGGGUGCGAGCGUUAAUCGGAAUUACUGGGCGUAAAGCGCACGUAGAUGGCUUUGUAAGUCGGAUGUGAAAUCCCCGGGCUCAACCUGGGAACUGCAUUCGAAACUGCAUUGCUCGAAUGUGGAAGAGGGAAGCGGAAUUCCAGGUGUAGCGGUGAAA
This 649-nucleotide ribosomal RNA is filed under the name uncultured bacterium. RNAcentral's name for it is "bacterial SSU rRNA". It matches the Rfam family "Bacterial small subunit ribosomal RNA", at positions 42 to 686 of the family's 1533-position model. The record is from RNAcentral.